CGGAACAUGUCCUGUAGUGGGGGAUAGCCCGGCGAAAGCCGGAUUAAUACCGCAUACGAUCUGAGGAUGAAAGCGGGGGACCUUCGGGCCUCGCGCUAUAGGGUUGGCCGAUGGCUGAUUAGCUAGUUGGUGGGGUAAAGGCCUACCAAGGCGACGAUUAGUAGCUGGUCUGAGAGGACGACCAGCCACACUGGGACUGAGACACGGCCCAGACUCCUACGGGAGGCAGCAGUGGGAAUUUUGGACAAUGGGCGAAAGCCUGAUCCAGCAAUGCCGCGUGUGUGAAGAAGGCCUUCGGGUUGUAAAGCACUUUUGUCCGGAAAGAAAUCCUUGGUUCUAAUAUAGCCGGGGGAUGACGGUACCGGGAGAAUAAGCACCGGCUAACUACGUGCCAGCAGCCGCGGUAAUACGUAGGGUGCAAGCGUUNAUCGGAAUUACUGGGCGUAAAGCGUGCGCAGGCGGUUUGCUAAGACCGAUGUGAAAUCCCCGGGCUCAACCUGGGAACUGCAUUGGUGACUGGC
This 521-nucleotide ribosomal RNA is filed under the name uncultured Burkholderia sp. RNAcentral describes it as "bacterial SSU rRNA". It matches the Rfam family "Bacterial small subunit ribosomal RNA", at positions 119 to 637 of the family's 1533-position model. Lineage: Bacteria; Pseudomonadati; Pseudomonadota; Betaproteobacteria; Burkholderiales; Burkholderiaceae. The record is from RNAcentral.